GUUUUUUAUUUCAGCAUAUAUGAAAAUGGGCUUUGGGCAACAUCUUCAUCAUAUAUAUAUAUAUAUAUUUUUGGUUAUCAUCCUAUGUUUUUAAGUUUAGGCAUUCUACACUCAAAACAGUCUCAUCUUUCAGAAAAAUAUACAAAAUCAUUUUUGCCCCACCUCCCCCAGGAAGAGGAAUUCAAAAAGACACUUAGGAAAGUGCCCGGCUCAUCAAGAAGAAGACAAGAGAACCCUGCCUAAGGAAAACUCCAGACCAGUACUGCACACUGGGUCCAGCAAGGUCAGACGCCCAGCAGGCAGGUGGCAGGCUUAUUUUCCAAGCACUGGCAGCAGCCUUCCAGCGCAUGAGGUGGGACAAGCAAUGAGGGCUGCAGAGUCUGCAAACUCAAGCAAGAAAAUAAGAACUACUGCCCCGGCAAACAAAGCCGUUCACUCACGCUCCUCCUUCUUUCUGUUCCAUUUCAUCCCCCAAGGGCUAUGUUGCUCAGCAAUAAAUGCUAAUGCCACUUUUGA
Non-coding RNA from Microcebus murinus (gray mouse lemur), 516 nucleotides. The record is from RefSeq and is a predicted model, not a curated record. NCBI's taxonomy places the organism in Eukaryota, Metazoa, Chordata, Mammalia, Primates, Cheirogaleidae.